Hypanus sabinus (Atlantic stingray) is the source of this 657-nucleotide long non-coding RNA. RefSeq lists it as uncharacterized. NCBI's taxonomy places the organism in Eukaryota, Metazoa, Chordata, Chondrichthyes, Myliobatiformes, Dasyatidae. The record is from RefSeq and is a predicted model, not a curated record. The transcript has 3 exons.
GUCUCUGUCAAAGCUGGAGACCAACCUCAGCCCAGAACACCUGCAGACUCGCUCGCCACAGCAUCUGACUGCAAAAUGCAAACUGAUUCGGCAAGCACGUUAAGUUUUCUGACUUCAUCGCUUGGAAACCUCGAAGCAGCUGAUCCAGUUUACUCCCACAUUCCAAAGAAAGCAUGGUGACCCUUGCAUGCUGUGCCCAGUACACAGAAGGGCUGUGUCCAUCUUCGAAACAAGGUAAAGUUGGAACAAUCUGCGAAGGGAUGCAAGAAAACAACUCGAGCAGUGGGGUACCGUCCCAUCGAAAACUCAACAGCAGGAUAUGAUCCCAUUCAAACUUAAACAACAGGAAACAAUCCCAUCCAAAGCCAAGCAGCAGGAUAUGAUCCCAUUCAAACUCAAACGGUCUUCCUCCCAUUCUUCUCUGCAGUUUCAAACUCACUUGCAUUUCUGAGUUUCUCACAAAUGCUGCCUGACUUAUCAAUAUACCAACUAGUGCUCUAUUGAGUACAUUCACAAGGGGCGCUACCAAGAGAAAGCAGUAUCCAUCAUCAAAGACCCUCACCAUCCAGGCCUUGUUAAUGCAUUGUUUAUUGUAAGUUCUAUUAUACUUUAUUUUCCUGUAAAUCCUUGCAAGAAAAUGGACCUUAAGGUUGUAUA